Long non-coding RNA from Aptenodytes forsteri (emperor penguin), 259 nucleotides. RefSeq lists it as uncharacterized. Lineage: Eukaryota; Metazoa; Chordata; Aves; Sphenisciformes; Spheniscidae. The transcript has 2 exons. The record is from RefSeq and is a predicted model, not a curated record.
UAAUGAUAUGCUGUGACAGUAAGUUGUUGUCAGUGAAGACCAAGUCUCUACUGGUGGUUUUCCAAAACUUGUGCAGGACCUGUGUGAACAGAUGCUGAUAUAUUUCCUGCAAGACAAAUGGUCUUCUGUUCCCUGCAAGUGCUGAAGUCGUAUUCUGAACGCAGCAUGACUAACCAGCUAAGGAACUUCCCAACCCAGAAUUAUAAAGGAAGAAGUGGGGCUUUUUGCCUGGCAGUGUAAUAAAAGCUGAACUUGACUG